ACCAUCUUCCUCUGUAUCAAUAUAGAUAUAUUUUGUUUAUGGCUGGAAAGUUCAAAGCAGCCGUAGGUAGACCAUCACUGGGCGAUUCUAUCAACUUCUGCAUUUUUGCUGCCCUAAAGAUCAAAGCCAGACGCUAUUGCUUUUCUAUAAAAACACAAACGCGGCAAUCAAACUGGCCGCAAAACAAAAGACACUGUGCCUUUUCUGAGCAUGAAAGGCACUUUUAUUCAUGUUUUGUGAUUGAAUGUUGCAUGAGGACUGUGUGGUUAUGAACGUCAGCCCUCGCAUUGGUUGUAAGGAAGCAUCCAUCAGCGAGUAUGAUUAAUAUACAUCGUGACAUAUUUGGUGUUUGACUUUGAAUGCGAUUAAAAUCAAAGCCAAUUCCCACCCCUCAAGCUGUGGUGGGCCGUUUGUGCACAAGCAGAUAAUGGGUGGGAUUACUGCAUAUUAUCUGUGCAUUCAUAAUUGGCCGAGUUGUAGAGUUCCUAUGGGAGUUAAGGGUCUUCUUGAAACCACUGACCUGAAUAUAAUUUGCCCAGCAACUGCAGAGAAUCUCCUUGGCUUAUUGCUCAAGGUUGAGAAAUCACAUGUUUCUUCAAGGAAAGCCCAUAAAAUGACUUGGACAGAUAGAUGCGGAGAGAAAACAUCUGGGCAUCGAUUCAGAAGGACAAUAAUGGGACGCUGACAGAUGGAGCAAAUGGACAGAAUAGCGAACGCGUUCUGAUUGUGCGCUGGACUAACUGGAUCAGAACGCAGCGGUGUGGGCGGGAGACGCUGUCAGCCGGAGGAUUGUUAGUGGUCGGUCCAGAUCUGCUGCUGAAGUCCGUAUCCAGAUCAGAUGGUGGAUGAGUACCAAAACAUGAUGUUUACAGCCCUGACCGUCAUCGUAGACCAGAACACCUAGAUGAGCCCCAGAGAAGGUUCACAGGAGUCAGACACACACACACACACACACACACACAAAAUAAGUCCUUUACACUGACAUAGCCGUGUUUGCAAUUGAACUGGAAAUUAAUUGCUGGUUUUGUCUAGCCAGAGGAAAACUUGCCUGGUUCCUCCCAAGGUUUUUUUUGACAUCCAUUCUGUCACGGAUGGAGAUUUGGUUCCUUGCCCCUUUGCCUCUGACUCGAUUGUUUGUGGAUAAACAGCUUAAAGCCUCACAUUUUUUAAGUUAUACAAAUGGCUGCACCUGUUUACAGUAACAAUAAAUUAAUGAUUUCAAAUGUGAAAAUAUGGCACAGGACUUUUGUCCGUUAGAAUUUUACAUCAUGUUAAAGACUUUAAAGAAACAAGCUUUUAUUUCAUAUUAACUUAGAAACAAAUGCCCAGAAACAAUCAUAGUAAUAACUCGCUAAUGGCUUGUAUUUGUGAUCUGGAGCAUGAAAACAGCCAGUCUCUUACAGUGAUUCAUUAAUUCAAGGAAACAAAUGGGUUUGAGACAAAGUUCCUGAUAGCAAUCGAGGAUUUACCCUGAACUGCAGAUUUGUGUGGCGAUACUUCAUUUGUCAUGCAAAGAGAAAGAAAUGUGAGCACUAGCUUUGUUAGAAAAGGAGGCCGGCGACGCAUACGUAUAUCCUCGUCGUAUACAAGGGAUUUCUUUGCCAUUCACUGACAUAUCCAGCGUCUAGAGGUCUUUCCGACCCUUGUUACAGCUGUGUUGUUGUCUCCAGUCACUACACACAGCCCGGAUCCUGAGCAUUCCUUACAUUUUCUCUUUUCACCAGCCCUUCCAGACAACAAAAGGUCGAUUGUGUUGACAUCACAGCAGCACGAGUGGGCUUCCAUCUCACUUUCCAUCACUUAAAACCAGGCAAGCUUUGAAAAAAAUGGCAGAAGACAAUUUCACUCGUCUUUUGGUUAGUU
Puntigrus tetrazona (Sumatra barb) is the source of this 1863-nucleotide long non-coding RNA. RefSeq lists it as uncharacterized. The record is from RefSeq and is a predicted model, not a curated record. NCBI's taxonomy places the organism in Eukaryota, Metazoa, Chordata, Actinopteri, Cypriniformes, Cyprinidae. The transcript is spliced from 3 exons.